Molecule: long non-coding RNA, 1695 nt
Organism: Equus caballus (horse)
Lineage: Eukaryota; Metazoa; Chordata; Mammalia; Perissodactyla; Equidae
Source: Ensembl
UCUAAGGAUGAGGAUUAAAUGAGAGGCACUGAGGGCUGGGCCUGCCCCCCAGCACACUCUAGGCGGAGCAGGUGUUCGUCUUUUGUGGGCACUCGAUUCCCUCCCUAGGUGUUGCUACCGUCCCAUGCGAUGAGUGGCGCCUUUCCACGCCAAUUCCAGACACUCGAGUUCCCGCGCUUCUUCGCAGCUGGGAUGCAGCCAUGCGGCCUGAGUUCCUCCAGGCAGACUCACCCGGGUGAGAAUCAGAAUGGAGCUUUGUGUGGUGGUGGCUGUGCCCAAGGGAUCUGAGCUUCUAGAAGACACUGUGGCAACACUUUUGGUUUCUGCAGGGGCUCAGCAGUGGCUGAGCCUUGUGUCCGGGCCCAAUCUCAUCAGGACAGACACGGUGGCUGUGGUGUGUUGCUAAAGCAGCCCCGUGGUGUGGUUGAAGUCUUUCCUUCUGCGCAGCUUUGGAGCCUGCAUUCCAAUCCUCCCAGGGGUUUGGGAACACUUCAUAUCUCGACGCAAAUCCCUUUCUUGCUUUAACCAGCCAAAGCGACUCUGCUGUUUGCAACUGAGUUCCCGGACACAUGCAGUAAGCGGUCACUGAACAACGCUCCUGAGUCACUUUCUCCAAGGUGACUGGGACACACCAGGAUAAACUCAGCUCAUCGCAGAGGCCUCUGCUGCAGUCUUGGUUGGCAGCCCAGCCCUUGCGGGCACCAGCCCCUGCCAGAGCCACGAACAACCGGAUAUAAGGACAAAUGGAUGAGUCACCGGGAGCAAUCACAGGACGACAGCAAGCCUGGGUGCCAAAUGGCGGAGAUUCCGCCUGGCAAUGGCAGGGCACAGUGCUGGGCUGACGGGAGGCACCUCUCCGGGCAGACCCUCCAGGGGAGGCACAGUCUUGCUGGAAGGAAGGCAAGGGAACACUUUGGGGGUUCCAGCAGGAGCCGGCCCUGGACACCCAGCAGGACGGAGCUGGCCCAGCCACUCUGCAGAGUCCUCCCAGGCUCCGGGAGCUGCGCCAAGUUCUGGGGGCCGGAAGUCUGCAAUCAAGGUGUCAGCAGGGCCGAGCUCCCUCAGGGUGUUCCCAGGAGGACCUUUCCUCGCCUCCUCCAGCUUCUGUGGAAAUCCCCCUGCUUCUGAAAUAUUCUCCGGAACUCAACAUAAAAAGCAGGCAAAAGGCGGCUAUCAUUUCCGGCUGAUCUCCCCUCCCUCCCCAACCCCAGACCCCCGAGGCACCCCAUGCGGCUCUGAGGACCCAGUGAGAGAACUGAUGCAGAGGACACACAUCCCAAAGCCAGGCACAGCCUCAAAUGGGUUAAAAUCACACUUGUCAAUUCUGUGACUUUGGUCAAUCUCUCCACCUUUCUGAUCACCAGUUUUCCUGAAAGAUUGUUAAGAGGAUUACAUGAGAUAACCUGGUAGAAACACUCAGCAGUGGACCACAGGGCCGACUAGCGCUGCGCUGUCCGGGAUGGGAACCUCCAGCCCCGCGCGACUGGUCCUAAUUGAGGUGUGCGUAAGCAUAAAACACACAGUGGAUUCCCAAGACUUGUAAGAACAAAGAAUGUAAAACAUCUCAUUAAUAAUUUUUAUAUUGAUUACAUGUUGAACUGACAUAUUUUGGAUAUGCUAGGUUAAAUGAACUAUAUCAUUGAAACAGUUUCACUGGUUUCUUUUUACUUUUUAACGGAGCUACUAGAAAAUUUU